This 346-nucleotide unclassified non-coding RNA is filed under the name soil metagenome. RNAcentral describes it as "partial contains 5.8S ribosomal RNA, internal transcribed spacer 2, and large subunit ribosomal RNA". The stretch from base 1 to 120 matches the Rfam family "5.8S ribosomal RNA", at positions 35 to 154 of the family's 154-position model. The record is from RNAcentral.
GAUGAAGAACGUAGCGAAAUGCGAUAAGUAAUGUGAAUUGCAGAAUUCAGUGAAUCAUCGAAUCUUUGAACGCACAUUGCGCCCCCUGGUAUUCCGGGGGGCAUGCCUGUCCGAGCGUCAUUGCUGCCCUCAAGCCCGGCUUGUGUGUUGGGUCUCGUCCCCCUUCCCGGGGGGACGGGCCCGAAAGGCAGCGGCGGCACCGUGUCCGGUCCUCGAGCGUAUGGGGCUUUGUCACCCGCUCUGUAGGCCCGGCCGGCGCUUGCCGAUCAACCAAAACUUUUUUCCAGGUUGACCUCGGAUCAGGUAGGGAUACCCGCUGAACUUAAGCAUAUCAAUAAGCGGAGGA